This is a non-coding RNA of Caranx melampygus (bluefin trevally), 132 nucleotides long. The record is from the annotation of a GenBank genome assembly. NCBI's taxonomy places the organism in Eukaryota, Metazoa, Chordata, Actinopteri, Carangiformes, Carangidae.
GUCAGGAUGGCUGAGUGGUGGAAGGCACCAGAUUCAAGGUUGAUAUUUUCCAGAUUCAAGGGUUCCUCCUUCCUGAGCAAAGGCACUUCUUCUCUCCAAAUGGAGGCAUGGGUUCAAAUCCCACUCCUGAGA